Molecule: ribosomal RNA, 466 nt
Filed under: uncultured bacterium
Lineage: Bacteria
Description: partial 16S ribosomal RNA
Rfam family: Bacterial small subunit ribosomal RNA
Source: RNAcentral
GAUGAACGCUGGCGGCGCGCUUAACACAUGCAAGUCGAACGAUGAAGCCCAGCUUGCUGGGUGGAUUAGUGGCGAACGGGUGAGUAACACGUGAGUAACCUGCCCUUAACUCUGGGAUAAGCCUGGGAAACUGGGUCUAAUACCGGAUAGGAGCGUCCACCGCAUGGUGGGUGUUGGAAAGAUUUAUCGGUUUUGGAUGGACUCGCGGCCUAUCAGCUUGUUGGUGAGGUAAUGGCUCACCAAGGCGACGACGGGUAGCCGGCCUGAGAGGGUGACCGGCCACACUGGGACUGAGACACGGCCCAAUCGCCUACGGGAGGCAGCAGUGGGGAGUAUUGCACAAUGGGCGCAAGCCUGAUGCAGCGACGCCGCGUGAGGGAUGACGGCCUUCGGGUUGUAAACCUCUUUCAGUAGGGAAGAAGCGAAAGUGACGGUACCUGCAGAAGAAGCACCGGCUAACUACGUG